GGGUUGUGAGGUUAAGCGACUAAGCGUACACGGUGGAUGCCCUGGCAGUCAGAGGCGAUGAAGGACGUGCUAAUCUGCGAUAAGCGUCGGUGAGGUGAUAUGAACCGUUAUAACCGGCGAUUUCCGAAUGGGGAAACCCAGUGUGUUUCGACACACUAUCAUUAACUGAAUCCAUAGGUUAAUGAGGCGAACCGGGGGAACUGAAACAUCUAAGUACCCCGAGGAAAAGAAAUCAACCGAGAUUCCCCCAGUAGCGGCGAGCGAACGGGGAGGAGCCCAGAGCCUGAAUCAGUGUGUGUGUUAGUGGAAGCGUCUGGAAAGGCGUGCGAUACAGGGUGACAGCCCCGUACACAAAAAUGCACAUAUUGUGAGCUCGAUGAGUAGGGCGGGACACGUGGUAUCCUGUCUGAAUAUGGGGGGACCAUCCUCCAAGGCUAAAUACUCCUGACUGACCGAUAGUGAACCAGUACCGUGAGGGAAAGGCGAAAAGAACCCCGGCGAGGGGAGUGAAAAAGAACCUGAAACCGUGUACGUACAAGCAGUGGGAGCCUCUUAAUGGGGUGACUGCGUACCUUUUGUAUAAUGGGUCAGCGACUUAUAUUCUGUAGCAAGGUUAACCGAAUAGGGGAGCCGAAGGGAAACCGAGUCUUAACUGGGCGUUAAGUUGCAGGGUAUAGACCCGAAACCCGGUGAUCUAGCCAUGGGCAGGUUGAAGGUUGGGUAACACUAACUGGAGGACCGAACCGACUAAUGUUGAAAAAUUAGCGGAUGACUUGUGGCUGGGGGUGAAAGGCCAAUCAAACCGGGAGAUAGCUGGUUCUCCCCGAAAGCUAUUUAGGUAGCGCCUCGUGAAUUCAUCUCCGGGGGUAGAGCACUGUUUCGGCAAGGGGGUCAUCCCGACUUACCAACCCGAUGCAAACUGCGAAUACCGGAGAAUGUUAUCACGGGAGACACACGGCGGGUGCUAACGUCCGUCGUGAAGAGGGAAACAACCCAGACCGCCAGCUAAGGUCCCAAAGUCAUGGUUAAGUGGGAAACGAUGUGGGAAGGCCCAGACAGCCAGGAUGUUGGCUUAGAAGCAGCCAUCAUUUAAAGAAAGCGUAAUAGCUCACUGGUCGAGUCGGCCUGCGCGGAAGAUGUAACGGGGCUAAACCAUGCACCGAAGCUGCGGCAGCGACACUAUGUGUUGUUGGGUAGGGGAGCGUUCUGUAAGCCUGUGAAGGUGUACUGUGAGGUAUGCUGGAGGUAUCAGAAGUGCGAAUGCUGACAUAAGUAACGAUAAAGCGGGUGAAAAGCCCGCUCGCCGGAAGACCAAGGGUUCCUGUCCAACGUUAAUCGGGGCAGGGUGAGUCGACCCCUAAGGCGAGGCCGAAAGGCGUAGUCGAUGGGAAACAGGUUAAUAUUCCUGUACUUGGUGUUACUGCGAAGGGGGGACGGAGAAGGCUAUGUUGGCCGGGCGACGGUUGUCCCGGUUUAAGCGUGUAGGCUGGUUUUCCAGGCAAAUCCGGAAAACCAAGGCUGAGGCGUGAUGACGAGGCACUACGGUGCUGAAGCAACAAAUGCCCUGCUUCCAGGAAAAGCCUCUAAGCAUCAGGUAACAUCAAAUCGUACCCCAAACCGACACAGGUGGUCAGGUAGAGAAUACCAAGGCGCUUGAGAGAACUCGGGUGAAGGAACUAGGCAAAAUGGUGCCGUAACUUCGGGAGAAGGCACGCUGAUAUGUAGGUGAAGCGACUUGCUCGUGGAGCUGAAAUCAGUCGAAGAUACCAGCUGGCUGCAACUGUUUAUUAAAAACACAGCACUGUGCAAACACGAAAGUGGACGUAUACGGUGUGACGCCUGCCCGGUGCCGGAAGGUUAAUUGAUGGGGUUAGCGGUAACGCGAAGCUCUUGAUCGAAGCCCCGGUAAACGGCGGCCGUAACUAUAACGGUCCUAAGGUAGCGAAAUUCCUUGUCGGGUAAGUUCCGACCUGCACGAAUGGCGUAAUGAUGGCCAGGCUGUCUCCACCCGAGACUCAGUGAAAUUGAACUCGCUGUGAAGAUGCAGUGUACCCGCGGCAAGACGGAAAGACCCCGUGAACCUUUACUAUAGCUUGACACUGAACAUUGAGCCUUGAUGUGUAGGAUAGGUGGGAGGCUUUGAAGUGUGGACGCCAGUCUGCAUGGAGCCGACCUUGAAAUACCACCCUUUAAUGUUUGAUGUUCUAACGUGGGCCCCUUACCGGGGUUGCGGACAGUGUCUGGUGGGUAGUUUGACUGGGGCGGUCUCCUCCUAAAGAGUAACGGAGGAGCACGAAGGUUGGCUAAUCCUGGUCGGACAUCAGGAGGUUAGUGCAAUGGCAUAAGCCAGCUUGACUGCGAGCGUGACGGCGCGAGCAGGUGCGAAAGCAGGUCAUAGUGAUCCGGUGGUUCUGAAUGGAAGGGCCAUCGCUCAACGGAUAAAAGGUACUCCGGGGAUAACAGGCUGAUACCGCCCAAGAGUUCAUAUCGACGGCGGUGUUUGGCACCUCGAUGUCGGCUCAUCACAUCCUGGGGCUGAAGUAGGUCCCAAGGGUAUGGCUGUUCGCCAUUUAAAGUGGUACGCGAGCUGGGUUUAGAACGUCGUGAGACAGUUCGGUCCCUAUCUGCCGUGGGCGCUGGAGAACUGAGGGGGGCUGCUCCUAGUACGAGAGGACCGGAGUGGACGCAUCACUGGUGUUCGGGUUGUCAUGCCAAUGGCACUGCCCGGUAGCUAAAUGCGGAAGAGAUAAGUGCUGAAAGCAUCUAAGCACGAAACUUGCCCCGAGAUGAGUUCUCCCUGAGACUUAGAGUCUCCUGAAGGAACGUUGAAGACGACGACGUUGAUAGGCCGGGUGUGUAAGCGCAGCGAUGCGUUGAGCUAACCGGUACUAAUGAACCGUGAGGCUUAACCUUACAACGCCGAAG
Molecule: ribosomal RNA, 2925 nt
Filed under: Escherichia coli
Lineage: Bacteria; Pseudomonadati; Pseudomonadota; Gammaproteobacteria; Enterobacterales; Enterobacteriaceae
Description: bacterial LSU rRNA
Rfam family: Bacterial large subunit ribosomal RNA
Source: RNAcentral